UCCAUUGGCUGUAACAAGAAAGGUUUCAUCCCCACACCUGGCAAGUGUACCCACCAUUGAAUUAAAUUAGAUACCAGCUUCUUUCUCUGUCCAUGCACGCUUCUCCAACAAAGUAAAAGAAAAUUUGAAUUGCUUGUGAUUAUUUUUGUGAUAUUUCUUUAUUAUUGCCCCGAGAAGAGUUGAAAGCAGAAGAUUUGACUGUGUAGUAUUCACUUGAAUUGUGGAACGAUUUAAAAGAAAGAUAUAGCUAGCGGAAUAUGAUAAUUCUAUUUAAAACUCGUUACGAUUGGAUGCACUUGAAGUUGCAAGGUUUUAGAAUUACGUGAGUAGAGCUCUGUAGUAUUUAGGAUAAGUUUUUAAUUAAAAAUGCAUGGGGA
This 377-nucleotide long non-coding RNA is filed under the name Gossypium barbadense (sea-island cotton). RNAcentral describes it as "long non-coding RNA (GBAR_LNC018171)". Lineage: Eukaryota; Viridiplantae; Streptophyta; Magnoliopsida; Malvales; Malvaceae. The record is from RNAcentral.